Molecule: long non-coding RNA, 1307 nt
Organism: Hippoglossus stenolepis (Pacific halibut)
Lineage: Eukaryota; Metazoa; Chordata; Actinopteri; Pleuronectiformes; Pleuronectidae
Exons: 2
Source: RefSeq, a predicted model, not a curated record
UGCAGCUCCAGCCCAUAUUGCAUUUCAGGUGGUACGUAGCUGUAGCGCUUUGGAAAAGGACCAAUGUGCUCUGACAGUCUCUUUUACUGUCCAUUGUCUGCGGGUGCAGGAUGACAGCCCCGCGUUAAAGCAUGGUGAAGAUAAGCUCCAGAUCCAAUUCAGGAUGGGGCUGUUUUCUAAUGAAACAAAGGGAUUACACGAGCACGGGUGAACGACAGAGAUGGGAAGUAGAGGCAGCAAAUGAAAGCUCUGCGAGGGAACGGCGGAGUGGCGGAAAAGGAGGAAGAGAAGACGAGUCGGAGACAGAGGGGCUGUGAUGGCUGAUGUGUGCAGGCAGGUCGAGCUGGAGCCACUGCAGCCGUGUGCACCCACCCAUCCCCACCCACACUCCUCCACCCCUCCGCCCCCUCUCUUGCUUGUUCACUCAUUUGCUUAACAAGUUCAUUUGUGCGUGGGCUUGCAUCAGGGUAUGGCUGUCAAGUGAUGCGCGAGACUGGCCUGCGGGAACUGUUGGCCCUCGCAAGCUGUUCACCUGCAUCCCUCUCACCCCUGCCCACCCUCCCACUCACUCACACACACUCACACACACGCACACACAUGUCUGUUGUAUGAGUAAAUGGUUUGUAAAUUCUAGUUCAAGCUGCAAUAUUUCCAAGAUAUCAGCUGCGGAGCUGAUACUGAAAUAGUUUGAAGGUUUGUUUAGCUGAUUGCAGAGCAGAAUAACAGUUUACUGCUAGCUGAUUAACUUAAAAUUUGAGAUUAAACUAUGUCAUUGAUCAAGAAAAAUGCCAAACAUCUUGUAAUUGAAGCUCAAAUUUGACAAUUUCCGAAAUUCUGGUGACUUAUUUGAAGGUAAACCAAAGGUAAUUGGGUUUUAGAUUGUUGCUCAGCCAAAUAAAGUAUUAGGAAGACGUCACAUUGGAGUUUGUGAUGGUCCUAUUUCCUGUAUGGAGGCUUCAAAGACUCAUUUUUCUAGUCUUGAUGACAACUCAAAGCUCUUUACAUGCAGUGUUCCCAUUCAACCAUUCACACAGGGUUCGGGGUUCAGUGUCUUGCCCAUUGGCCCUUCGGCAGGCAGAAUGGGGGAGAUUGGGAUUGAACAGUCGACCCUCUGGUUUGUGGACGACCAGCUCUAACCCUGAGCCAUAGCCAAGUCAUAUACCAAAUCAGCUUGACCUUUGAAGACGACAAGUCCAAGUCACUUAUUAUUUUGUUCCAUGACAACCUCCCACUCUCUGUAUUGCUUGUGUCAUAGAUCAAUAAGUGGAGAAAAUCUGAUAUUAAAAAAUAAAGACAUUUCAUAUAAA